AUGUUUGUUAUUUUAGAUUCAGCAUUUGAUGAGAAGAGUGACUACCACAAGCAUGUGUUGAGCAUUCUGAUCCCAAAUUUCAAGAGGGUUUGGAACAUGUUUGGGAGCUCGCGGAAUCUUAAUUGGAGAAUUUGGUCUACACAUUUUAUUGACGUGCCUAAACAAUCAAAUGCGGUUGACUGUGGUAUUCAUACCGCAUUAUACUUGAAACACUGGAAGCCUAGGGUCAAGAUGCAUGACAUUAUUAAGGAUGAAGGUAUUCCUAAUAUUAGAGUAAGAUUGGCGAAUGAGAUGAUGUUCACUGACCUCAAUAUUCUGACAGAGCAGAAGAACUUUGUUCUUGAUUUCUGA
RNAcentral lists this ribosomal RNA (351 nucleotides) under Triticum aestivum (bread wheat). Its description in RNAcentral is "partial small subunit ribosomal RNA". The record is from RNAcentral. Lineage: Eukaryota; Viridiplantae; Streptophyta; Magnoliopsida; Poales; Poaceae.